Molecule: long non-coding RNA, 341 nt
Filed under: Setaria viridis
Lineage: Eukaryota; Viridiplantae; Streptophyta; Magnoliopsida; Poales; Poaceae
Description: long non-coding RNA (SVIR_LNC006798)
Source: RNAcentral
CUUAAUACAAUAGCACUUUCCUACAGACGGAACAUAAAGACCACAUUCAAAGUUCCUUGGGCAAAGCUAGAACUGUCAUUUUUCUAAUAAGAAGAUUGAUCUUUGUUCUCCCUUGUGAGUGUAGAGUCGCUAGUCAGAGGCAAGGAAUAGAGGAAAGUAGGAGAUUGAAGAAAGGGUCAAAGGCCUUAUUACAACUUAUACCAUUAUGAGUGGUACUUAUAAAAUAAAACCGCUGAGUCUUCAGACUUAGUAUUUAUGGAAGGCUCUUCUAUGCGACCACAUAUAGAAAGAUCACAAGUCCAUGAACCUGGAGAUUUCCUCACGCCUAGGAAACAAUGAGC